This is a long non-coding RNA of Oncorhynchus keta (chum salmon), 6548 nucleotides long. RefSeq lists it as uncharacterized. Lineage: Eukaryota; Metazoa; Chordata; Actinopteri; Salmoniformes; Salmonidae. The record is from RefSeq and is a predicted model, not a curated record. The transcript has 3 exons.
AAUGGAUAUUUUGAGUGCCGUCGGCGAUGCGUGCGCACGGGGUUCGCUCAGACUGGAAAACAUCGCAUUUAUCCUUUUCUUUAAACCUUAGGGGAAUCCCGAGUGCUACACUGUUGCGUUUUUCUUAUUUUGGAGAAAACAACAUUUCAAGUGAUUUUGAAAGAAAAUGGUGCAAUACGUCCCCAAGGAUAUUAUUUCUAAAUUUGGUGAUUGUGCAAUACCAGCGCCACUGAUCAAAAAGAGGGGCGGUGGUGGUGUGAUGAGCAGCAGCGAACUUCAACUUCGCACGCAUCUCCAAUCUCUCCCAUAUACUCAUCAAGCGAGGGUUUUGCGCGAAGUCGUCUUGCUGUCCAAGGGAUGCGGACGAGACAUCACGGAUCCUACCGCUUUGCGCAUUUAUGCUGAACAUGUUUGCGACAUUGGAGAAUAUCAGCAAGUCGGUGCAGGUUUGAAGCUCUGCAACUCCAGCAAGGUAAUUAAGCAUUGCAUUCUGUCAAAAUAUUCCAUUACAAAAGUCUUGAAGAUUUGGGAAGUGUCUCCGGUGACUAUCUAGAUGGGAGGGGAGGUGAGUUGGGUCGUUUAUUGUCCAGUUCUUUCUGUUUCUUUCUUGAGUGAUGAUGCUCCUCCUCCAGCUCUGUCAUUGGAGAAAUCCUUUCAAAUAACAAAGCUUAAUUGAGUGAUGAUGACAAACAUUUCCAGAAAGAGAGGGGUGAGAGAACUACCUGUAUGACAUGCAAUACAGACUCUCUAUGCGCCCCCUCUAGUGUGAGUCAUCAGGCCUAAAGACGCCGAGCUGUGAGUGGUGAAUCAGGUGUUGAUAAUGGCCAACAGUGGACGUCUGGUCAGCCGACAGGUGGGGGCUGGUGUGUGUUGGGUGUGUGUAUUGUGUGCAGUGCGUGCAUGUAUUGUUGUGUGCAUGUAUUGUGUGAUGUGAGUGUGGAGGGAGAUUAUGGUGUGUGUGUGUGUCCAUGAAGGGGAGUUGAUGUUGUGUGAUGCAUGACUCAACACGAGAGGAAGGCCACACCCAUGGGACGAGCCCAGGCUCCCUUCAGCGGCGGCAUGGGCCUAGAUCUCACUGACUAUGGGUGCCACGAUUAAAGUGUAUUGUCCUAACUGAUGAAGCUCAAACACUUGAAGAGCCACUCAAAUCCUGCACAAACACUCCGACACAAAGGCAGAGAGGCCGGGCAAGAAAGUGGAGCACACCUUCACCCUCCGCAGUAUGCCCCUUUAUAAACAAACUCUUCCAACCUGAUUUCUGCCAACCAGCUACUGAGAGUCUGGGCCCGUAUUCACAAAGCGUCUCAGAGUAGCAGUGCUGAUCUAGGAUCAGGUCCCCCCUGUCCAUAUAUAACAGUAUAACUUUAGACCGUCCCCUCGCCCAUUCCCGGGCGCGAACCAGGGACCCGCUGCACACAUCAACGACUGACACCCACGAAGCAUCGUUACCCAUCGCUCCACAAAAGCCGCGGCCCUUGCAGAGAAAGGGGAACCACUACUUCAAGGUCUCAGAGCAAAUGACGUCACCGAUUGAAACGCUAUUUAGCGCGUACCACCGCUAACUAAGCUAGCGUUUCACAUCCGUUACACAUACAAUCAUAUUCAUUAUGGUCUAAAAUGCAAAAAACUAAACCUAGAUCUGCACUCCUACUCUGAGACACUUUAUGAUAGGGACAACCCAGAGUAAAUAGAACGACAUAGCCAUGGCUUAACCAUGUAUUGCAUCUCCAUAAUGGUAAUUUCCUCCAGUAAUUACUCAUCAUUAAAGGUCUCACUCCCAAUCACCUGGUUAGUGUUUAUAAUACGGUCUGCCUUGGUAAAUCCCCAUCAUUCUGAAAUAGCCUGAUUGUGUUUAAUUGGAGUGUUCACUAAACAGAGUCCACCCACCAGCAUCAACAAAUCCAAUGUAUUUUAACAGCAGGGAACAAUUUAAUCCGCCUCCAUAUAUCACCAUUGUAAACAACCAAGACGCAGAGCCCAAUGUUGCACAAUGAGCCUGCAUUGAGGAGGAGUUGAAAGGUCAGGUAAACACUUGUCCCAGGCUUUCCCUGCCUUUUUAAUCAGGACUCCUGUCCAUUUUUUUUAUCUUGAUUAGAUCUCUUGACUUAUGGCUGUGUACACUAAUGCUGCACUUCUGGCGGCUCCUUAACUCACUGUUUGGUUUGUUUCAUGUGGACGGGAAUGUCACGUUGCUAUUUGGCGUGGAACUUGUGCGCUGAGUCGUCGACAAACCAUGGAAUGAAUCCUUUGCAGACUAAUGGGCGGGCCAACCUUUUCCAGUGUUUGUCAUGGUCCUCAAAGCCCAACGUGGUCCAGUUUCAGAGAAACUGCCUCAUUCAGCACAAAUAUUAUGGAAGACCAUUUAGAUACUUCUCCGCCCUCCUUGUCCUCGCCAACCAGCCAUAGGGGAGGUGCUGACAGAUUUGUUGUUUUUUUUCUGGCAAUUUGGGGUCAACGAUGCAUGUUAGCAAACCCCACCGGCUCUCUUAGUUUUCAUUGCAAAACCAGGAGGCCCCCAACGUGCAUUGUGCAAUGUACACAGCACUCUGUUGGGUGACUGGCAUGUGUCUGAUGAUGCUUGAUGCUUUAGAUAUGGUUGUGGCCGUUGAAUGAGGCGUUCACAGUAAAUGAAAUGUUGUCAGGGGUCUGUAUUGGCAAGAAUGCACAAAAUCCCUGUCAUUCAGUAACUAAUAGCUUUUACGCUAAAACGGACUUCGCAGAAUAAGGCAAAGAUGCUCAACAGUUCAAAUCUCUGCACAGCACAUUGGAAAAGACUAAGGGGAGACAACCUUGCUACCUCAAAUGGCCUCCUGCAGUCUUCAAGGACUGGUGAGUGGGUGUGAGGACGUUGGUAAAAUGAAAAAAUGCAGAGUCAGGCGCAGGACACAGUUCUGAGUAAUCAUCCAAAAUUUACUCCAAAAUAAGUAAGAUUCCAACAAGGAACAAAUACAAUAAUCCCAAACACGAACAAUGAGAACCCACAUGACAAACAAUAACGCACAAAACAGAGAGGGAAAUCAUAGGGUUAAAUAAGGAACAUCAUUAAUGGAAUGGAAACCAGGUGUGUAUGAUCAAGACCAAACAAAACGAAAAUUAAACAUAGAUUGGUGGUGUCUAGGAAGCCAGUGACGUCGAACGCCGCCCGAAGAAGGAGAGGGACCAACUUCGUCCGAAGUCGUGACAGUGGGGCUGGUGAACUUAAUGAGAUUUUCAUGGUUUCUGAAGUAUCUUUGGGAUUUCUCAGUCGGUCUCAACAGCACAGCAUGAAGCUACAGCUUGAAGACCCACGGUCUAGUCCUCCUUGUCCAGACUGGCUCAGUUGAUAGGACGGCAUGACCGGAAAUCCAUCUUCCUCAAAACCCCUCUUACAUUACAUUAGAAAGGUCUUCCGCCCCUCUCAAAACUGUCAUUGGAGCUCCUUCAAAAUCACAGAGAAAACAUGAUUGUUCCUCUUUGGUCUUUAUGUUGGCAAACCCCCUUUCGUCUUGAAGGAGAAGCAAAAAUCCAUUUAUAGUCCGUUUCAGGGGGAAAAUGUGUGUGUAGCGCAACUGUUCUCCAGGGCCCGAACAAAGAGCUGUUUUAUGUUGGCACCCGAUUGAGGUCUGUGGAUCACAAUGUGACAAGGCAGACCUCAGAAGACGCUUGCCCAGCAGCUAGUGAUGUGCCUUCUUAUUCUUGGAGCCACUCUCUCACUCCAGGACAUGGAAACCCUUGGCCUGGCCAUCCAUACAACUCCAAAACCAACAGUGCUGCCCAUGUGUAAGCAAAGAGGGCAAGUGUUUUUUUCAUGACACCUAAAUGUCUUUUUCUUUUGUGGACAGCAUCUUUCGCUGCCCCUUUUGCUUUUUGUUAUUCCACAAGUCUUUGUCUUGGCCAGUUCCUGUGCACAUAGCUCUGCGGGAUCUGAGGCGUCACACACUGUGGCAAUGUUUUUUUGGUCAUGUGACAUCUAGAGUUGACACUGGCAUCGAUCCUCCGACCGUUUCACACUCCAACACUGCCAGCAGGAUCUUUUGACUUCCUUGACUUCCCUUUUAGUUUGUAGUGGAGUAAAGGGGCUUUACAGCACUUCUACAUUGAAACCCUGUUUUGGAACGCUUUCUUUAGAUCAGUGGUCAACAGGUCGAUCUCCAAGGCAUUCCUAGUCGAUCGCCAAAUAUUUCUGUAAAAAACCCAACAAUAAGCCGUGCGUUCCUAUUUUUUAUUUUACGCUGUUGUUGGUAGGUGCACCUGAUUCAGCUGCCCUGCGCUCCAGCGAUGUGUUCCCAUUUUCAACCAUUUCAUAUGUUUGAAGGUACAAACUCUGCCUUCCCGGGGGGAGCAAAUCAAGUACACUAUAGGCCUACCAAUCGGAGGACUGUCUGCAGUAACAUAGCAGGCAUAAAAGAAAGCUACAGCAAAGGCGGUACAGAGGGUAGUGUGUACGGCCCAGUACAUCACUGGGGCCAAGCUUCCUGCCAGCCAGGACCUCUAUACCAGGAGGUGUCAGAGGAAGGCCACAAAAAUUUGUCAAAGACUCCAGUCAUCCAAGUCAUAAACUGUUCUCUCUGCUACCGCACGGCAAGCGGUACCGAAGCACCAAGUCUAGGACCAAAAGGCUCCUUAACAGCUUCUACCCCAAAGCCAUAAGACUGCUGAACAAUGAAUCAAAUGGCCACCCAGACUAUAUACAUUGAUCACCCCCCUCCCUUUUGUUUUUACACUGCUGCUACUUGCUGUUUAUUAUCUAUGCAUAGUCACUUACCACGACUAACCUGUACCCACGCACAUUGACUCGGUACUGGUGUCCCCUGUAUAUAGCCUCAUUGUUAUGCAAUUUUCUUGUUACUUUUUGAUUUUAUUACUUUUUUAAACUUUUGUUAAUUUAGUAAAUAUUUUAUUAACUCUAUUUCUUAAACUGCAUUGUUGGUUAAGGGCUUGUAAGCAUUUCACUGUAAGGUCUACUACACCUGUUGUAUUCGGCGCAUGUGACAAAAACCAUUUGAUUUGAAGACUGUGUCCCUUUUUGAACAGUGUCAGAGGAGGACCCUAAGUCUGCUGCUCUCUCCCUCCGCUGAGAUUGACCAUCAGAUGCAGGCUCCACCAGCCUAGUAAAAUUAAAAUGAUUGAAGUGUAUGCUCAUUCAGCUGUUCCUCACAAUAAUACAACAAAUGACCUAUUACCGGUGUGAUCAUAUAGCCUACCUUAAAUGUUGAAAUAUAAUUGUAAAAAAGGGUCUGAGAAGCAAAGCCAAUAUGCAGUUAUAAUGUAUUGGGCCUAUAGCCUACUGCACAAACCUCAUUACUAAAGUACCGUCUUUAAUAGGUUAAUGUUGCCUAGCCCUACGUUUUUUCAAUCAUGAACAAAAAAAAAAAAACGGUUGAACGGUAGAUCUCGGCUUGCAUCAGAAAUGGAUUCGACUCAGAAAAGGUAUGUGACCGCCUGCUCUGGAUCAUUCCAGGUGGUCCCUGCCUUCUUCGUCUUGUAUUAUUCCUCUUCAUUGUCUUCACCUUCUUCUCAAUAAAUAGGUUUUUAUUCAGUAGCCAACUGUUGCAUUAAUGCAUGCCACCAUCUCUAGAAUAUGGCUGUAGAUAUCUUCUGAAGUAGGGGGAUAUUUAUGAUGUAACACACCACACAACUGCAGUCUUUUGAAGCUUUAGCAGCCUCUGCCACGGCCAUUUUAGAUAUAUAAAGUUAAUAAAGAAGUUGUAUUGGAGUAAACACUCGUCUCCGUUCCCAGAGCGAGAGAGAAGAAAAAUGUAUCUAGUGCAGUAAAUUGAACUCAACUUUGCCUCGUUCAUGAACUCGCCUAAAAAUAACCUGUUUCAACAAGUGAAACACUUUCCAGCUAAGCUAACACCAAGGCCCUUUAAAGUAACAUAAGAUAUUUGGUUUUCAAUUAUGAGAUACCAAUUUAAACCAGGUUAGCGUCUGUCAAAGGCUGAGAAAUGCUUGAAAGGUGUCGGACAUCACCAUAUAAAGGUAUUUUCUCUAAAUACUCUGAUACAGGGCUUUCAGGAAAUAUUCACACACCUGGACUUAUUCCACAUUUUGUUGUGUUACAGCCUGAAUUUAAAAUGGAUUAAAUUCAGAUGUUGUGUCACUAGCUUACACACAAUACCCCAAACAAACAGGCCUGGAUGAGAUCUUUAAGGUCAGGGCCCUCCGCAAGGCUCACAAAAUCAUUUUAGACCCAAGCCACCCCCUGUACCUGGACUUUGAACUACUCUCCUCUGGGCGCAGGUAUAGGGCACCCCUCAGCAGGAAAAACACAACUAGACAAUAAUUUGUGCCAGGUGUGAUAAUCCCUCCUAAAUAGCUCCGGCUAAUGUUCCUAUCGACUCAGUAAGGCCAGCAGGCUAGUCUUUUGGAAGAAAAAAAAUGUUUUAAUGUUUUUUGGUAUGUAACUGUUAUGAAAGUUGUAUUGUCAGUUUUGUUUUGUAUUUAAACGCCACUUUAAAUGUGAACAUGACACCGCAACAACAUUUCCCCAUGGGGACAAUAAUGUCAGUAAGUCAUGUCAAAGUGGAAAUUGUACAAAUGAAUUAAAAAUGAAAAUAUGAAAUGUC